GCCAGGCAUGGUGGCACAUGCCUGCAAUCCCAGCUACUUGGGAGGCUGAGACAGGAGAAUUACUUGAACCCGGGAGGCGGAGGUUGCAGUGAGCCGAGAUCAAGCCACUGCACUCCAGCCUGGGUGACAGAGUUGAGACUCCAUCUCAAAAAAAAAAAAAAAAAUACAAAAAUUAGCCAGGUGUGAGGGCAGGCACCUAUAAUCCCAGCUACUCUGGAGGCUGAGGUUGCAGUGAGCCAAGGUCAAACCACUGCACUCCAGCCUGGGUGACAGAGCAAGACUCUGUCUCA
RNAcentral lists this small RNA (290 nucleotides) under Pan troglodytes (chimpanzee). RNAcentral describes it as "Metazoan signal recognition particle RNA (ENSPTRG00000038941.2)". The record is from RNAcentral. Lineage: Eukaryota; Metazoa; Chordata; Mammalia; Primates; Hominidae.